CAAAUUCUGUGGAACCAAGGGCUGAAUAUGGCUCUACAAGGAGGACCACAAAUAUUGAUGCAGAUCAGGAUCAUGUGAACUUGUCCCCCAUGGUACGCCACCUCGUGGAAAACAUGACGGAAGAGCAUUGGAGAAUUGUCCGUGAGGCUCUACAUGUGCCUGGGACCAAAGAAGACGUUAGCCAGCUUUGUGCCUGCAUAGUUGCGAAAGUGGUCCGGACGACUCAUUAUUACCUGAUCCCAGCCCUUAGAAAAGUUCUGGGUGUUCCUGUCACAUACGUGAUUCCAUGUGGAACAGCA
This is a long non-coding RNA of Alosa sapidissima (American shad), 299 nucleotides long. RefSeq lists it as uncharacterized. The record is from RefSeq and is a predicted model, not a curated record. Lineage: Eukaryota; Metazoa; Chordata; Actinopteri; Clupeiformes; Clupeidae. The transcript has 4 exons.